GUGAAAGAAGAAGGUAGAGGGAGAACAAUGGAGGACUAAUAAUAGACAAAGAAGGAGGAAGUUAUGGAUGAGGCAGAUCAAAUUUGACAGCUAAGAAGCUUAGUAUUCACGAACACCACUGACAGCUAGAAAACAAAUCGAACAAGGUUGUGAAGAAAGGAUACUAGUUCAUGUUCCCUUACAUUCUUCGAGAAGUUGGUUGCCAUCUUCGAGAGGUGCCAGUUGCCUAGCUUCCAAGGGAAGCUGGUGCAACUUCCCAUGGAAGGAGAGUAAGUCCUUAUUUAAUCACCAUUUCCCCCACCAUCAGCAUCGACGUCAGUCACACUACCAUCUCGUCCAGAGAAUGUCAAAUGAAGUGGGGAGAAAAAGUAGUGAAAAAAAUAGAUGGGGGAGGUAGAAAUGCAGGUGAGAGGAGUUAAUUGGCGCACCAUUUCAGGAGGUGGACGGUUUCACACAUGGUUGCACGGUGGAAUGCGUCACUUCAGCUACUAGGUAGAGAUCGAAAAAUUGGCCAAAUUGUGUUUGAACAUAAACAAGAGAUCAAGGCCCAACAAACAGAAAAGAAGCUAAACAUGUAUAAACUUUGGAAAUUAAUUAAGGAAUUGUAUAUGAUUAUUGAGAUGUAUUGGAAAGAGUUAUUUGGAGAAAGAGUGGAUAGAGUGGAAAGUUAAAAAAAUGUAUAUAGAAACCGAUUAUAGUUAUAAUUAAUAAUUUUAUUUACAUUAUAUACAUUAUAUUAUAUAAAAAAGCAGCUGUGAAUUAGAUGGGAAAGAGUGGAAAGAUAAAAAGGGAGAUCAAAUUUGGCAGAUAAGAAGCUUAUUCACGACCAGCAGUGACAGCGAGAAAACAUAUCGGGCAAGAUUGUGAAGAGGGGAUACUGGUUCCUAUUCUCACGCGUUCUUCGAGGAGCCGGUUGCCAUUUUUGAGAGGCGUUGGUUGCCUAGCUUCCCAGGCAAACUAGCGCAACUUCCCAUCGGAGGCGAGAAACUACUUAUUUAAUUGCCAUUUCCCCCACCAUCGGCAUCGUCGCCAGUUCCACUACCAUCUCGUCCCCAACAUGCGCGCGUCACCCCAGCAGCCCAGCCGACACCAUGAAGCGAUCCGUCUACCCCUCGACCCCCACCUCCUCCGGCUCCCCGACGCACCCCCUCUCCAUCACCGGCUCAACUCCGCGCAUCCAGUGAUCCUCCGGCGCCUCUUUGUCGUCGUCACCCUACCGUAGCAGGUCGUCGCCACACUAUCAUCGCGUCGCCACCCUCAACUUCACAGCAGCAGUACGGUGCUACAAUCACGCGGUGGGGUUGUCCCGCUACGGAAGCACUUCCGUGUCAGGAUCCCACUCCGACGCCAGCGACCUCGGGCUGUCGUUGCGCUCGUCCUCGGGAUCACGCUCCGAUGGCACCGACCUCAACCCAUUGGUGUCGCCCGUGGUCGCGCCUGGGAGUUCCCGGACGCGUUCCCAGCCUCCUCUAGUGGUGGGGUGACUUCCUCCACCCCCGUGUCCUCGUCACCGUCCAUGGAUGCUCUAACUCAGGAUAAGCUCGAUGUCCAAUU
This 1554-nucleotide long non-coding RNA is filed under the name Setaria viridis. RNAcentral describes it as "long non-coding RNA (SVIR_LNC006990)". Lineage: Eukaryota; Viridiplantae; Streptophyta; Magnoliopsida; Poales; Poaceae. The record is from RNAcentral.